CGAUGUAUAACUUAUUGAACAUUCAAGUACAGUACUGACGACAGUUUAUGCUUUACAAAGACACCGCACUGCACGGUUCUUGGCUUGAAACUAAAAGAUAACAAAAGAACUUCAACAUCAUAGUGAAAAUAGGAUAACCCCUCAAAGAGAACUUCAUCAUGCUGCUGCCGUCCUAGUCUCAAGACCCUUGGUAGUGGUGGUGGUAGUAGUAGUAGUAUCAUGUGGCUUAGAAAUAUCAUAUUGUUUAGCGUCAUGGGCUUUAUCCUGUACGAACUGACCCACUUCUUUACCCUUCUGUCCAGCGUAG
This 307-nucleotide long non-coding RNA is filed under the name Brassica napus (rape). RNAcentral describes it as "long non-coding RNA (BNAP_LNC003538)". Lineage: Eukaryota; Viridiplantae; Streptophyta; Magnoliopsida; Brassicales; Brassicaceae. The record is from RNAcentral.